AGAGAGAGAGAGAGAGAGAGAGGGGGGGAGAGGAUAAAUCGAGUAGGCCAGCAACCAUUGAAUCAUUACCCUGCUCCUUUUCCUCCGUUUUUGGUGGUUUGUGAGCUUCAUUAGACUCCCUGUGGCUAUAUAUGUACACACAUACCCGAUAGCGGUCGCAUUUUAGAAUCGAAAGCGAGUUGAAGAAUCCCAUAGCGUUCUGCUUGGAUUGCUGCUGAUUAUUCUGACAUGGGCUUGGAGGAGAGAGUUCCAAACCUGCACAACGAGAAAGAAAAAGCUCAAACGUUGACCUUAAGUGUGCAUGCCUUUUCUGACUUAACCUAUGUUUCUCCCGUAGUAUUUUUAUACCUCCUGAAAGAAUGUUAUAUUCAUGGCUCGUGUAAGGCAACGAAAAAGUUCAAAAUUCUUCAGCAACAAGUUCAUCGGGUACUAUAUAAUUCUCCUCAACCAGGACCUGCCACUUUUGUUAUUCAAUGCCUGCAUGUCCUGCCCAUUUUUGGAUUAUAUUCUGAAGGGUUCAGUCACUUGAUUGUAUCUGCUCUUCGUCGUUUUCUAAAACUGGUGCCGACCUCAGAAGACACCUUGCAAGCAAAAGUUCUAGCAGCCAAUUUAUUUAUAGAUGUUGUGGGAGGCUUAGUCAAUCAUGAUGAGAGGAUAGUUGUCAAGAUACUUGAAGGUUUUGAUGUCAGGUUGACACACAUUGAGGAAGCAAUUGAUCGAUUAAAGGCCCAAAAUGAUAAUAGAUUUGACACAGCAAAAACAUUUGUUGAACAAUAUAUUUAUAAGUUUGUAGAAUCUCAGUCGUAUAUGACAGCAGUCACUUUGCUGGAACAUUUCUCUAUCCGCCAGUCUGGGCAGUCUUUCCUUCUCAAAAUGAUGCAGAAUAAACAAUUUAAAGCAGCUGAAAAAUGGGCAACAUUUAUGGGGAGGCCAAUGUUAUGUGCACUUGUUAAGGAGUAUGUUGAUAGGAACAUGCUAAAGCAUGCUUAUGAGACUAUAAAGAAAAACAAUCUGAAGGAAGAAUUUCCUGAUGUAUACCAUAAAUGCACAGAAAGUUCAUUGAAGAAUUUAGCAGAAAAGGCAUUAUGGGAUAUUGCAGAGGCAAAGACACACGGUGACAGGCAACUUGUUGAAUAUUUGAGUUCUGCUGAGAAGGAGAGGAGAGCACAUUUGUAGCUGCUUUACAUAUCAUUUCAAGAAAUAAUGGGAAGUACAUAUUUUGCUGAUUUUCUGUUAGUUUCUUUUGAUUAACAUUUAAAUUAUAUGUACUAAUUUAAUUGUAAGGUUUACUUGGCAAUGGAGGCUGGUUACUCAGAGAAGGUUGAUGAACUCUGUGAUCGUUACUCACUUGAAGGUUUUCUGAAAGGCAAAGAACUUGAGGCCAGUCUCCCACAUGGUAGGUAUCUGCAACUCAAUGAAUUAGUUGUUGAAGGCUUUGUCUGGGUUGAUGAAGUUGAUGGCCUGUGUGAUGCUACAUGCCACAUUGAGGGCUGUAAAGUUGUGGGUAUUGAUUGUGAAUGGAAGCCCAAUUAUGAGAAAGGCAGCAAACCAAACAAGGUUUCUAUCAUGCAAAUUGCUUCUGAUAAGAAAGUUUUCGUCUUUGAUUUGAUAAAGUUAUUUGAAGACGUACCUGAUAGUUUAGACAACUCUCUAACUCGGAUUUUGCAGUCUCCUAGAAUUUUAAAACUUGGUAUGGCAUAUCUAAACACUUUGGUUGGGGAAAAACCACAUUCUAUACAAUUUUUAAGCCUUUAAAUUGAAAUCUCUCUGUUGUGGAGAAGAAAAGUGUCUUUAUUUGCUUUGCUUUUGCAGGUAUUAUAAACUCUUAGAUUUUAGAACCUCUCACACUCAAUUUAUUUAUCAAAAUGAGGCAUUAAUAUAUUUAUCAGGUUCCCAGUGGUUAAUGGACCCCUACCAAGUGGUCUAUAUAAAAAGUUAUGUAGGACAUUAGAUGGAUUAUUGGUGGCUGACGGGAGUGUUCAUUAUCAAUAAACUUUUUCUUGAAUAUUUUGUUGAUGAUGAAAUAUAUUUGUUAAGAUGGAAAACAAUGCUAUUUACCCAAAAGGUGCUGAUGCCCUUUGUGGAUAUGUAGGUUAUAACUUUCAGUGCGAUAUAAAACAGUUAGCUCAUUCAUAUGGAGAAUUGAAGUGCUUCAAGCACUAUGAAAUGUUACUUGACAUUCAGAAUUUAUUCAGAGAACCCCGAGGUGGUCUGUCGGGGCUUGCAAAGAAAAUAUUAGGAGUGGGUUUGAAUAAAACAAGACGGAAUAGCAAUUGGGAGCAACGGCCUUUGAGUCAGAACCAGGUAUAUUUAUUGUUGUCUGUUUACAUUGAUGUUUCCCUAUUUUAAUGCUUCUGCAAAAGCCAUUGAUGGGGAAAAGCAAAGUUUGGUGAAAGUCUUCCCAACUUUUGAUUUAAGCUUAAUGUUUCGUAUGCAGUUCCAACAUGCAUUUAUUCAUUUGUGCUUGUUUUUGCUCUAACCAUCCAGUGAUUUUCGAGUUCAUGUAUAAACUAACUGUCAGUGAGAUUUAUCUGAGUAUUGAUAUGAUACCAAUAACUUUUCUUCAGGUUAGAGUAGGGCAAGUAAUGAGAUAUUUGCUUGGUUUUUAACUUGCAUUGAGAUAUCAAAAAUUUAUUUUCCACAAAAAAAAAAAAAGGAAAAGCAUGUUUCUGCUUUUUUACCCAAAACUUAGAUAAAACCAACGCUGUUGCUGGUUUGAAUUACUUUUGUAGAGAAAUCUGGUUUGCUACAUCCCUUUUUUUAGGGUAAGCUUUAUGUGUUCUGGCAAUGCUGAACUGAUAUUUUGAUGGAAGACAGACUUUCUUUAUUGUAAUUUGAAGUCUGGUAAUUGAUUUGUAUGUGUGCACAUGUGAAUGAGUACAAGAGCUGUGUGAUUGUUGAACCUUUUGAUCUUUAUAUCCAUUUUAAAUUUUAUAUUGGACAAACUAAAGCACUAUAUUGCAGUUGGAGUAUGCUGCUCUUGAUGCUGCUGUACUUAUUCACAUAUUCCAUCACAUUCAUAAUCAUCCUCAUCCUCAGCCUGCCAGUGUCUCAGAGGGGCAUGACAAAAUUGAGUGGAAAUCCUAUAUUGUUUCUUACAUGGAUAACUUCAAAAAGCCAAAAAAAGGACCUAAAAGUAAAAAGGCUUCAGAAGGUGAGAUCAAACAGCACUGACAAACAAAGUUAAGAGGACUUGGCAUAUUUUUCUUGGCUAUCCCAUUAGACGAUAGUCUUUGUGUACGUAUAUGCAUUUAGUUUAAGAAGAUGAUUCUGAAUAUUGAUAUGGAAAAGAAAUUAUUUUCUGGAAGUGUGGGACUAUUUAUAAUCUCAAUUUGCUAAACGAGCUCGAGGGAGAUUCAGAGAUGAGUAUUUUUUACGAAGUAAAAACUUCAUUCUUUUUUUUCCUUUUUGGAGAAAAUAUUCAUAUGGUAGAAGAGAAGUUUCAAAAAUGUGAAAAUUGUGACAAGGAGAGAUAUUCCUAAUAUGAGAAAGCUAGAAGAAAAUGAAACUAAGGCUGCUUGUCAUGCAUUCACUUGUUGGAAAUUUGAAUAUGUGGGCAUGUUCCCCUCAAACUGGAAUAGGGAAUUAGUUUUCACCUGUGUCCCGUGAAUAGGCUUUACCUUAACAUUGAAGAAAUAACUAGUUAUCAACAUAUAUACAAAUCUUGGAUAACAAGUACUCUAAGCUGAUCAUUGUGCAAGAUUCAUGGGCUUAGCAUUUUUUAACUUUUAGUGGUCGUCAUGUCACUCCACCAAACAAUAGACUUUUUUCUGCUGGCAGAUAAGUGGGGUUCAAUAACAUCUUGCAUGAUGAAUGCUUGUCAACUUAGAUAAGGAUGAAGAAGCGAAUAUAGUGUUUCUCCCAAAUCCUACUCAAACGAGGAACCAAAACAAAGCAUGUGAUGGAGGUCCACAAGUCAAAUUUUCUAUGUUCCCGUAUUAGUAAUGUGACCAGAUGGCUCUUGAAAGUUUCAUCGAAGUACAUGAUAAUGUGAUGUUGAUGACUAGGCUAUUGUUUGAGGGCCCGAGGCAAAUGAAUAUUGUUUUAUCUUUAACUAGGAAUUGUUCGUGCUUUGGCUCUUCAUAAUUUU
This 4090-nucleotide unclassified non-coding RNA is filed under the name Hevea brasiliensis (rubber tree). Lineage: Eukaryota; Viridiplantae; Streptophyta; Magnoliopsida; Malpighiales; Euphorbiaceae. The record is from RNAcentral.